GGUUGGGCGAGUGCGGUGUUGCUCCGGCGAUCAUCGAUGCUAAGCAGCGUUUCGCUGGGACACUACUUGGAUGGGUGACCGCUUAGGAACACCGUUCGCUCGCUCAAAAAAUUACUGCGCGGAAGGCACGGGUGUGGAGACCCAGUGUUGUACCCUUCUAGUCAGUGCGACGGAAGGGUACACUGGGACCCUGCACUAUCAGCCGACUGUACGGUAGAGGUUUUCCAUGGUUUCCCUCUACUCCUGUGCAAAUGCAGUACAGCUGGGGAAAAAGUUGGUCCCAUGGCACCGCAGGGGAAGGGGAACAAAAAUGUAAAAGAGAAACGGGAGAGGAGGUAAAAACAAAGAGGGAUCACAGUGUUAGGGAGAAAGAAAGGAGGAGGUGUAAAACCGAAAAAGGUAACACCAAAGAAAAAUAGAUAAUAAUAAUAAUAAUAAUAAUACUUCAUCAUCCAUACCAAUUCCUGUGUCUUUACUCCGAAAAUAUGACGAAAAUGGGUUGCGGUAGUGGAAAUUGGGACUUUCUUAAGGUAACCCAGGGUGCACCACGUAGAGGUAAACUCUGCUCGCCUCCCUUGCAUUAACCAAGAGGAGGAAAAUAGCGCAAACCUGUGUGGACGUUUACAGCGCUAAUGAGGUCACGAGUUGGUCAAUGUUGCCACCGUUGACUUGCAACAUACCCACUCGCCUGGUGCAUCCUGGCUUCUGCUGAGAAAGUUUGAACCUUCAGUUUGAUAUGAGAACUCAUUUUCGUCGCAUUUUCUGAGGAGAAACGCGGGAAUUGACGUAAAUGAUGAGAUAUCUAAAAACUGUUCAUCAAAAUAAACAAGUUUCAUUGGGGUGAAAAAUGCGAUUGCUUUUUUUAAAAAAAAGCUCCCUAUGCUUGCAGCUCGUAAUCAUGACCUUGAAAGCUGAAAAAAAAUGAAUGCAUUAAAUACACCCCUCGAACCCUACAAUCAAUGUCCCCAAAUCUUUCCUGUCACUUCCUCUCCUCAGGAGAUAUUCAGGUGGAUUGGUUUUCGAUUAGGUGAAAAAUAACUGCACCAAAUACGUUCAUUUUGCCCAUAUCUCUGGAUAUUUUUUCUGUUGAAAUAGACUCCCUCAAUUCAUUUCUCGAAUCAAGUGGUGAUAGGACCAAUAGGACCACUAUAGGGAUAAUAGGGUCCCUUAAUAAUAGGACUAAAUCAAGUCAUUCAUUCACAGGAAAGAAUUUAGAACAACUUGCGUAAUAUCCCCCUCUACCGGCUUUUUGUUUAUUGACAUGUAUUUAUGAGCGUCGUAUCCCCUUUUAUUUUUUAUUUUAUGUUCAAAGAAACGAUAGUGCCAGUUUUAUUUGUAAGCAACGAUACAUUACACUAUGCACUUAGCACAUUUUUCGACAAAAACAUUUUGUGACCAAUAUCGUGGAGGUACUACCACUACUAGAACAAGUAUGGCUUCCCGUCCGUGGGGCACUUUUUCCGUGUUAUUUUAAAGUGAAAACAAGCAGGCGACCGGUGCUAUUCGACAGAAGUGAUGUGACCGAUACUUUGCGCGUUAUUAUUUAUUUUCCAUCAUUUAUAUAGAAGUGAAGUGGUAUACCAUUUGGAUUAGUAGUAUGCUUGCGAAUGGAUUCGCACCAAUUCCAUUCCGAAAAUGGAAAGGAAACGAUCGCAUCUAAGAGUGGAGCACCUCCACAGGUUUUGAGACUCAUUGUGUUUUAUGUAAGAAACCCUCGAUGCCAAAAGAUAAACCAGGACGUAUAAUAUGUACUCCUAAUGUACCUAAUGUGCAUCGAAAAAUGCAUUGCUCUUCGUAAUGAUGAAGGGUCUGAAGAAGAGAGGUUAAUAGUCGAGGGAAGGAUCUGCAACAAGAAAAAGCUCCUUAUCACACUGUCUGUUUCGAAAAAUUUUAAUACAAGUGUAAGCACAAUGCUAGAUCAACUCGUACCCGGGGCUAAAUGCUGAGUUUGAAGGUGUUCGUCAUUAUAUGGAAAAGAGUGGUGUGAGUGUGAAUUCUUUUUCGGUGACCUAAUGGAGGACAUGGAAGGUUGGACAACUUUCAGAGCCACUUUGAAACAAAAACUUAUCAACAAGUAUGGAAAAUUUUAUGGUGAAGGAAUACCAAAAAAUCAAAUGGAAGACAGACACUGUAUUGUUUGUGCAGCUGCAGCUAUAGUUCGUCAAAACAUCCGCAGCCGGGCAUACGAAACAUUGUUUUAUCCAACUCCUGAAGAGCUACUGAAAAAUGUUGAAAUUGAUAUUCCUGAAACUGGGCAAUUUCUUGGAUGGUGUUUACUUCAAGAGUAUUGGAAAUGGGAAGCUUAAUUAAAUUAAAAUGCAAUCAAUUUAUAAAUAACUUUUCUUUUAUUCUUAAAACGCACGAGGAAGAAAAACGUCUGUACUCGAUGAGCUGCUUGAGCUAACUAACUAGACGGUCAUAGGACCAAAAAGAAUAUCGUCACCCAUAUACAAAGGAGCCCUUAUUCCCUUCUCGCCAUGGAGUCAUUGUUUAUAUUUAUAUUAAAUCUCCGGCACUCUCUACAUCGAUUCAGUUUUGAACACAUAAGCCCUGGAAGUAUUUCCUAGAAUAAAUGAAACUAUAUAAUCCAAUAAAGAGCAAAAAAAAACUGAACAAAAAUUAGUGAUGAAAUGUAAUUUUGUCGCUCAUGCAAUCGUAUCAGCUCUUCGUUCAAGGACAACAGGAGUUUACUUACAUAGAAGACUUGCUUCCAAAGAACUAAUCACAAUAUUGAAUGAACUUGGGAUUUGCGAGUCUUACGGCAAUCUUGGUAUCUACGAAGUAUCUGCUAUAUUUAGUGAUAAUAAACUAUUUGAAGAGCAAGCACAUAUUCAGCAUGUAUUUGAUAAUGCUGAUAACAAGGUGCAUACUUUGGAUAGAUUCAAUACAUUCCAUAGUAUGAGAGGUAUUCGUCGCGUGACACCAAAUACUGCAAUCACUACCAAGGUGUGAUACAAACAGAGCCGAAUGCCCAAAGCCUCGGAGUUUUCUUCGAAAUUUAAUAUUUCGAUGGUAUAUGGUGAGAAGUUGGACAAUACAAAAACUGGAUUGAAGUCAUUCAAGUUUGUUGAUGUAUCCCAACUGCAGCUUGGUGAGCGUGAUACGUUACCAGUUGCUUAUGCUCUUCACAUUUGGGCCGAGUGCUUGGAAAUCUUAAAUUUUCCCAGUUGGAGAGACUACAUGGAAUCGAUAACCCACACCUGAGAGUAUGUAGUUGCCCAGGUUCACUGUUUAUCAUUUGUGAACCUCCCACCAUCACAUCCAGACACAAUAAAUACUGUGCUGAAUCAUGCUUAUUCAGAAGCACUCAUUGGUGACUUUUAAUCAGCCGUUGUAUGCGAAAAUUGUGGAGCUGGUGAUGGAUAAACAUACUUACUUCAAAGGUGUCAUAGUGAGAUUGGGGGGAUUUCAUUUGUUGAUGUCAUUUCUUGGAUCUGUUGAAACUAUCAUGGAUGGCAGUGGCUUUAAGGCCUGCUAACAACAGCUCCUGCAGGCAAUACUGUUAACACACAUGAUGAUCGGACAUGCCUUUACCAGAGCAGUUAGAGGUCAUCUCCUCGUAUAUGCCAAAUUGGGACCCAUCAUUGCGCAGAAAUCUAGCAAUAUUUCAAAUGAAAAUCGAGCUUACAUGAGAACUAUGCUCACAGCAUUCCAAGUUCAUGCCACCAAUGCUAGAAGAACUUGAUGUAGACAAAAUAUUCUAAGAAAAGAGCAUAAAAAUGUUGGAGAUGUUGGAAACUUUGACGAACAUUGUAAGAACAUCUCGAUUAAGGCUUGAGUAUUUAAGUUGCAUCACACUGUUGAUAGAAGCAGAGUCUAUAGGGAACUGGGAGCUUCAUCUGAAGUCUGUGCGAGGUAUCUUGCCUAUUUUUCACGCUGCUGGUCGCUUGACCUAUGCCAAAUUCGGUCAAAUAUACUUCCAGCACAUUUCAGAGCUCUCAAAUAUCAUGGACCCGCAAGAAUAUGAAAAAUUGAUGAAACAAGGGUAUUCUACUAUACGAAGAUUUGAUAAAAAAAUAGGCUGGAAUUUGUACAAAUAUGAGUGGAGUAGACGCUGAUGGGUACCAUGAAAACGUCUGGUGGACUAACUCGCAGUCCUGGAAUAAACAAUGAAUGGGCAUGCCAGUUGUCUUUGAAGUGAUCAAUGCUUUCGAAAAUUUUGUAAGAGUACGAACUGCAAGUUCAGAGCAGUACACAGACUGGAGAUCGACAAGUAUCAAGCGUGAUGCUCAGGAUUACGCUAAAUUUUUGAAGUGCCUCCAAAUUUAUGAUCCUUGUUCACCAGUUGAAGCUGAUUGAUUCACAUCACUUGCAGAUUGUGGGAAUGUAGCCUACUGUGGCUAGGCAUUGGAAAUAGGAAAAUCAACCAUGAAGGAAAUGAUUGAAUGCUGCUGACGUGAAAUUGAAGUGUACGACUCGUAUGAAAUCCGUUGCAGCUGCAAGGCGACGUUGAUCUUCCGAAGGAUUACAGCAGCUACGAAGAAUGACUAUCACUUGGCGGUAGAAGUAUUCACCUACGAAUUAGCUCCUUUUCAACUUUGAUUGUUUGAUGAUCAAGGCAUGAUGGGCAAACCCACGAAAGCAAAAUCUUACGAUGCUGUUUCUGCUCAGCCCACUAGUUCUAUCAAUGUAUGUGAGUAUAGACAUGUAAUUGAUGGCGGAUUUUUACUUUAUAAAGUGAUAUGGCCAGCUGGAAGUACCUACGAAAAUGUCUUCAAUCUAUAUGUGAAUUAUGUGACCAGCAAUAAUGUUUUCUUUACAAAGGAUUGUCACCACCUCCAAGACACCAUUCUCUUCAACCAUGCCUUUACUGGGUGUUACCCAACACGUGCUGUUUAUGGCACAGGGAAGAAAAAAUUUUUAGACAUCCUGAAGACAAAAGUAAGUGACGACGUGAAAAUUUUCCAUGAUUCUUAGGCUGCCAAAGAGGGAAUCAAGCAAGCAGGCAGCAUCGGUUGAUGUUGGCUUUAUAUAGUGCCCAUAAGGAAGAAUCAUCGAUUAAUGUCGUGCAUUAAGCUGUAGGUAAGCUUUAGGUGGAAGGUGUGCUACACGAGGAAACGCACCUCGUGUAGCACACCUUCCACCAACUGCUGCAACCACUGAGGAACAUCUGUGGCGAGGCUAUUAACAAGUGCAAAAGUGGCUAGGAUGUGGGCUCAAUCAAUGGACUGGAGAUGGGAGUUGAAGAACAAUAUCUAUUUUCCUAUCAUGACUAGAAUACCAGCUGCAUCAGAAAAUAUCCUCAGGAUGAUCUAUCGUACUUGCAAGAGCAAUGGCAAGGCCACCAAUCGUUGUGGAUGGAUAGCUAUCUGCAGGCUGAAAAUGUAAAAGCAUAUCCACUGGAUGUCACUGAGAUUCAUGCUUGAAUUUCAUGGAGAUCAAUAUCACCUCAGAUUCAGCAGAAAAAUCCGAUGAUCGACACUGCAGUAAUUUCAACGACGUUGAUGAUGAACUUAUGCUAUUUACAAUUUAUGAGCAUGACUGCAAAGACAAAAUUGAACCGGGCGAGAGUAAAAAACGACGUACUGAAAAUAUCGAUGAUGAAUGGUAAAUCGGUAAAUAUAAUUAAACUUCCAUAAUUUCAUUAAUCUCGAUGAUUGACCAAUAUGAUCAUUUUGUUACAGAAUCUCCCAGCCAAUAAUUCUCAUUCUGGACUUGUUUCUUGAGAACUUGUUUCUUCCAUGUAAUUGUUGAACAGAAAUAAAAUAUUGCAAUAAUUAAAUUCUGGUUGUUAGUCUUCAAAGUUUCCCGCAACUCUAUUUUUCGCAAAGAAAAUCGCAAUAGAGUACAGUAGGAGUUUGAAUCUCUUGCGCACGUCGCGCAUCACGUGUCACUCUUCCGGUGGAACAAUCAGCUGAUACUUUGUUACAAGUUAUGUUAAAGUCAUUAACAUAACAUUUUUUGCUACAUUCUAACUUCGUCCGAUAGAAAAUUCUCUAAACUACAAAGUACUUUUUUUUUCUGCAUUAAAUGUUGCGGGCGGGAAAAAUCUGGGCUCGAAGCGUUGUUGUGACAAAACUUGGAUUGUUUUUAAUUGAUUAUAAAUUUUCCGGAUAGAAGGUAGCACAUACGUUUUGAUUAUGUUUACAACGAAACUCUAAUCUAUCGAUUGGUGUAAUUUCUAUCCCCUGAAACCCUCCUUCCUAUAGAAAAGCGAAAAUGACGGGACUACUACUACAGAAAGUUCCUUUACUUUUCUGACUCGGGCAAUGUCCUUCAUGGAAUUUAGAGCAAUGGUAGUAGUAUAGUUUGUUUAGUGGUUCCGGCUGGUAUGGAUUUAGAAUAUCUGGAUCAGUAUGUUUCCUAUAUUGCCAACACGUCGAUACUAUAGAAAACAUAGUAGAAUUAUCAAUAUCCCCUCAGGGAUAUUCAUUUGCUACAUUUCGGUAUAAUUAUUGUGGGUUUCACUAUACUAGGAAUUCCCUCAUUUUCAUUUAUCAAUUGUAUUGAAUGUAUCUGUUUUAAUAUCACAUUGUGAAUGGCAUUUAUUUAGAAUAUUGAGAUGAAUGAAAUCAGCCAAUUUCUUAAUCGAGUUUAAAAAACUCUUCACCAGAGUUUUUCGGUUGAUCGUCACUCAGUCCGAGAAUGAGGAACAUUCCAUAUUUUAAAAAAAGGAGGUUAAAUUCCAAGUAAUUUAGUCAUUUAACCUCCUUCACAGACAAGUAAUUCAAUUUAGUAACAAGUAAUUUAGCAUCCUUCUUUUCAAAUAUAAAAUGUUCCUCAUUUUCUCACCGAGUGGCGUCUCAGUUUAUCCCAGUCGACGCUAUGGACCUCUUGGGAAGAAUUUUUCAAGUUCGAUUGAGAAAUUGGCUAAUUGUUGCCAUUCUGAACAAAGCAUUAUUAAAAUGAUAUUUAAAAAUUUUUCCAAUGUUUCAAUGUCAAGAUUUCAAAUUCAAAUUAUUGGAGUCAUGUGAUAGAAUGACUGUAAAAUUUUUAGACUCUGUGGGUCACGGGGAAUUCAACUGGAAGUUCUGAUGUAUCAUAAUAAAAGUAAAUAGAAGGCAUUCCACAGUGACAAAAAUAGCGAAACUUCCUGGAUAUUUUUGAGAAAUCAAGCAGAGCCCCGAAUCCUCGAAGUUUCUUACCAAAAUACCUUCCAAAAAUUAUCGAUAUUUUUACAAACUACGGUACAUUAAUUCUUAGGUAGCAAUGAUAAGGCUCAAUGUCCAGUGGUUUUGUAAUAUAUGAAUAACUUUGUCUAAAAAAUUUAUUUCAAAAUUGAGAGAAGCUGCUGGUCUUCUAUUAUCCAUUGAGAUCUACUCGUUUUCAGCCAAUGGUACAAUUUCCAAAGAUAUUCGAUUUCAUAUAUCAUCUUUCCGUUCUUGCAGUCAAUAUCAUGAAUUGAAGAUUUUCCUGUCAGUCGCCAUUAAUUCCAUUUUUCUUUCAGUCAUAGAACUUUCAAAUCACAUUUGUCAUUGAAUGACUCAGAAAUUACUGAAUAUAAGCGAAUUUUUAUAUCAGCCAUUUUUUAGAGGUGCAGGUAAAACGGAAGGUUUAUCAUAAAAUAAAACGAGUAUUUUGAAAAAAAAAGUUGAAAUCUUUGCAGUAAUUUUUGAGAUAUUGAGGAAAAAGGAAAUUUAUAAAAGUUGCUAUCUUAGGAACUACUGGACUGAUUGAGCUAAAAUGACACAUCAAAGUUAAUGUUAAUGAUUGUUAUCGUAAGUUGAAAAGUCAGAUUUUUCGCGUUUUCACAGAUUUUACAGUUUUUCUGGGUUUCAUAAUAUUUUAGAGAAUUUCCAAUGGUCAAUGGAAGGCUUCUAUUCUUAAGCAAAAAAUCAUUCUGAUAAAUUCCGCACUACACUAUUAAGAAUUUAUAAUCGAGAUCUUCUCAGUUUGAAAGUUCUUUGUGAAUUUCGAGGAAACCAUGUCGAAGAUGAGCAUAAAAAAAUAUACUGUCUGUAGGUUGAGUCAUUAUUCAAUGACUCACAAAUUUUCAUAGUGGCGCAUCCGUUUUUAAAAUUUAUGAAAAAACAUCUAUGGAAAUUACCUGACAAUUUGGUAACCGUGUCAUACUAUUCAGCAAAAUUUAACGACUACCUGGAAAAAUUUACCUACCAGUUGAGUAAUUUUUCUCGCAAUAUUAUACAGCGAUACGGUAAUUUCUCCAGAAGGCAAAUAUCAGAUUAUUCAUAUAUUAAAGUGAUUGAGCGAGUUGAUUUCGCAAUAUGCAAAUAAUUCCUCAUUAUUUAAAUAUAGACUUCAAAUUACUGAACUAUUUCCCAUUGAUUUUGUAAAAUGCUGAGUGGAGAAGUGCCGAAAAAUAAAUGAUAAUUUCCUAAAUAAUUCAAUUAUCAGUAAGGCAUAAUAGCCUGUGUAAUUGGCCUAGAAAAAUAUAAUUUCAUAUUUUCUAAUAUUAAAUUAUCAUAUUUUCCGUUCCUGCCCCUCCCACAAAAUGACAACAAUGAUAUUAAAAAAAUUACAUUUCUCCAUAUUUUUGCAAAUAAAUAACUUCAAUUUCAUCAAAUCAACUCAUCGCCAUAGCUUUGGCAUUUUGUACGUGCGAAAUUAACAAUUACCUCUUUCCCCCGACUGACGUAGACUUGUAUGUACGUCGAUUGGACGUGCCCUCCAGUCGGGGCUUUUUCAACUUAAAUUUUCAUAUGGAGCGCAAGCGCGACCAGUCAGUCACUUUCGGGAAGACGCAGAAGACGAACAGCUACUGUUCCGUUCAGCUCUCAGUGGUUUUUUAUAAUCAAUCAUCUCUGAAGUUGACUAAUUCCCCACAAUUAAUUUUCUUAGAUCAAUACCGCCUUUUUCUCUUGUGAUUUCUAAAUAAUCCUUGGACUUCCGGAGUUUUUAUUCUUCAGGAACUGUUUCAUCGAGUGUAGAACAUUUAAAUAAAAUGGUGAUGAUUGAUAUGACGGAUGUGCGACUGGACGAAGAUGACGAUGAGGAUCGAUUAAUUGUCGUCUCAUGACCCAUUUUCAAAUCUCCAUGAUAUUAAGGUCCAUUGACCUUGGUAUAUCCUCCGUUCGUUAUUUUGCGAAAUUAAUCGUUGAAUAUGGUCUUGACCUCAAAUGAAUAAAUCGUCCUCGAUUAGACUGUUGACAUGGUCAGGUGAAUUUUUAUUAUCCUUGUUUUGCUAAUCGCUCGAUAUCGGUCUAUUUCUACUCUCUUUUUUUUCAUUUUGUGUUUUGUUUUUUUUUUUUUUUUUU
Molecule: RNA transcript, 9155 nt
Organism: Diachasmimorpha longicaudata
Lineage: Eukaryota; Metazoa; Arthropoda; Insecta; Hymenoptera; Braconidae
Exons: 3
Source: RefSeq, a predicted model, not a curated record